Molecule: long non-coding RNA, 216 nt
Organism: Pieris napi
Lineage: Eukaryota; Metazoa; Arthropoda; Insecta; Lepidoptera; Pieridae
Exons: 2
Source: RefSeq, a predicted model, not a curated record
UUCAAUGAAUUUGAUUGUGAAGGUGUCGAGGGUAGUCAGAGAUAUUCUAAUACCUCAAAACAUCCAUGUUGCACUUGUAGUACCAAAACUCUGUCCAGCCAGAAGUGAGCCCAUUCCCACUUAUAAUGGACAGUGGGUAUAAUACACCUUAACACCUGAAUGCGAACCACUCAACAUGAUGAACUUAAAUUAAUAGAUGUUAUUUAUAUAUUUUGG